Misgurnus anguillicaudatus (oriental weatherfish) is the source of this 2641-nucleotide RNA transcript. It is a transcript of the gene named 2-oxoglutarate and iron-dependent oxygenase domain containing 2, with no coding region annotated. Lineage: Eukaryota; Metazoa; Chordata; Actinopteri; Cypriniformes; Cobitidae. The record is from RefSeq and is a predicted model, not a curated record.
AUCAUUCGUGGGCGGGCCUCUGGGUAACAUUCAUCGCUGCGCAGUACAACCGGCUUUAAACAUCAAAAUAUCGCGAGAGAGAUUUGAACGAUCUGCGUGUGAGUAUCAAAAAACAUGUUCUCGCGAUAUUUGAUGUCAUAUACCUAGAAGAUCUGCGCAGGACCGCAAAAAGUCGAACGCACCUCACGGUUCAACUCCCAGAACACACUAGUAAUGUGUAGUAAUUCUGUUAAAAUAUUCCCUGAGCCGUAAUUAUUUACGAAAACCGCAUGCCUAUAAGGUUUAACACGUUGUAUAAUACAACGGUACGUCUGAUGUCACCAUGAAGAGAUUUUACACGUGCAGUUGCUUUAUCACAGAUAACAUUUUUCUUGAAGAAUACAAACUGCACGUCCGUUUUGUCUCAGAGAGCCAGUUCAAGAAGGACUUCCAAAACAUCUUGAGAAGUUCAGGAUGCGUGACUGAAUCUCAGUUCAGCGACGUACUCGUAAAGAUUCAUGCAGAAAUCGUGAGACGACAGAAUCAUGAAUUCAAGUCAGCAGAGAGGACUGCUGCCAUCAAGGAGAUCUAUAAACCUCUACAUCAACAUGUUUAUAAUUUACAGGAGACUUUCCUGGCCCCAGAGUUUUUACAGAUGGUGAAGUACUGUUCUUCAAGUGAAGCUACAGUAGAUGGACUGAUUAAGCUCAUCCAAAAAGAGGCAGCACAAAGAGUCUAUCGGUUUCCAGUAUUCCGAAGGGAAUUUUGCAAGGACCUUAUAAAUGAGCUGGAGCAUUUUGAACAGUCGAAUGCACCGAAGGGGAGACCAAACACCAUGAACAAUUAUGGGAUUCUCCUUAAUGAACUGGGUUUUGAUGAGAGCUUCAUCACCCCGCUGAGAGAGGUCUAUCUGCGCCCACUCACAGCUCUGCUCUUCAGUGACUGUGGGGGAAACUGUCUGGACAGUCACAAAGCUUUCGUGGUGAAAUACGCAAUGCAUGAAGACUUGGACCUUAGCUAUCACUACGACAAUGCUGAAGUCACUCUCAACGUUUCACUGGGGAAAGAGUUUACGGAGGGGAACCUGUUCUUUGGAGAUAUGAGACAGGUUCCUUUAAGUGAGACUGAGUGUGUGGAGGUGGAGCAUCACGUAACCGAGGGUCUGCUUCACAGGGGUCAGCACAUGCAUGGAGCUUUGCCCAUCUCCUCAGGUACACGAUGGAAUCUGAUUAUAUGGAUGCGAGCCUCACGUGAGAGGAACAAACUCUGCCCCAUGUGUGUUUUGGGUGUCAUAAGCAGGAAAAUAGAGGGAAAGGAAGGAAAAGCAAAUGAUUGUUUGAAGAACGGCAACACUAAAGACCCACAGGAUUAACAUCCGUGUCGUCAUAGUCUGACUCCAUCUCAAUCUUCACCUGAGGCAUAGGACAGGACAUCCCUCUAGCCAUUGGCAUCGCUGGGGAUGACGGACAGGAGAUCUUCAAGUGUAGAGUGAUGCUGUGGAAUGGCAACGUCCAGUUACAAGAGUGAGGAAGAGUGGUGGGAUAGGGAUGAACGAGAGUAGAGAAGGAUAUCGUCCAACCAUGCCAGAUCGUGCUGAGAAAAAACCAUGUCCAACAUCUUACGCACCACCAUGAGACCAAGAAUCUGUGGGAUUGAGGCAGAAACUUUUUGUGGAAGAUAAUAGCCAGGAAUGUGGAUUUAAGGAUCCAGAGCAGAGCUAAGCACACAAUCUGCACCAAUGUAAACAGGUGGACUCUUCUCAGGGGUACAUGACGCAGUUCACCUGCAGGAUGGGAGCAAGGAAGAUAGACACUCCUGUUAGAACAAAGACCAGGAUUCCUGUCAAUCUCUGUUCUCUGGAAUUGGAGGAGAAACAGUCAGAAAGGGAAAAGCUGAGAUGUGUAACGUAGAAGGUAUAUUGAAAAAAAAACAUGCAGCUGCUAUGCCUGUCUCACCUCACACCCAGGAACUGUGGCUGCUCCCCUGGAGCACUGGAUUCACUCUCCAUUUUAAGUGAAUCGAUGUGGGCAAUGGAAAUGACGGUGGCAGCCACAUACCACGGCAGACCCAAAAACGAGCAGGUUACCAACAGAAUGCCCACCCACAGCAGGUCCAAAUGAUACCCGCAGGCUUUCUUUAACAGACAGAGAGAAUGGAAAAAAUCAAUAGUGAUGAAUUGAACAGGGAUGGUCCGACUCAUCACCACUGAAUCUUUUGAGAAAGACAGUUAACCGCAGGUUUCCGUUUUAUGCUUGUUUUCCUUGCGGUUGACGAUGACAGCACUGAUCUGCUGAUCCAUAAACAUGAGGAUGGUGACAAGAAGAGCAGGAACAAAGCUUGCCAGAUAAACCCACCACGGAUUCUUUCCAAACGGCAUCACAAACCAACCCCGAUCUGAACGAGUGGGCUGCAUGAAUCAUAAAGCACAUAAAAUACACCACUGAGAAAAAAAUUGGUAUUAAGUGUAUGGGAUUGGUACUCUAUGUACUCUUGCUGUACCUUGAACUCUGUGGGCACAAUGAGUUUGGGUGUGUUUAGACCAACAAGCAUGUCCAAGCCCACAAACGUCAUGAUGGACAUGAAGAUGGAAAAGUCACUUAUCAAUUUCCUCAGCUGGAAAGAAAAGGAUAUAAAUAAAUAUGAAUAAACAAACUGCAAGAAA